Non-coding RNA from Vicia faba (fava bean), 269 nucleotides. The record is from the annotation of a GenBank genome assembly. NCBI's taxonomy places the organism in Eukaryota, Viridiplantae, Streptophyta, Magnoliopsida, Fabales, Fabaceae.
AUGGGAAAUUUUGAUCCCCUUUUCUUUCCUCUCCCCCCCGGUUAUGGUUCAGGAAAGGGUCAACGCAAGGAUCUUACUUCGAAGCAAUCUUUGGAGUUUUCCCUUAUCCGAACGGCCAAGCUUACUGCUAGCCUAUCGCCUAGAUCCAAGCUUCGACCGCGACUGCUCGUCACUUUUGGGCGCCUUUUUCCGUCACCCGAGAUCCAAGUUAGCACCGGCAAAGAUCUCUUGAUUCCUCGCGGCCAGGCCGACUUGGAAGCAAGCUACCU